Non-coding RNA from Mycena vulgaris, 96 nucleotides. NCBI's taxonomy places the organism in Eukaryota, Fungi, Basidiomycota, Agaricomycetes, Agaricales, Mycenaceae. The record is from the annotation of a GenBank genome assembly.
GCCGUCGUCGACCAGUGGAAGGGCCUUCUCGAAAUGUAAACCUAUUCUGGUCGUUGCUACAAGAGAAAGACGGGGGUUCGAUCCCUCCCGACGACA